Molecule: ribosomal RNA, 509 nt
Filed under: uncultured bacterium
Lineage: Bacteria
Description: bacterial SSU rRNA
Rfam family: Bacterial small subunit ribosomal RNA
Source: RNAcentral
GACGAACGCUGGCGGCGUGCCUAACACAUGCAAGUCGAGCGGAGAAACAAAAGAGCAGCUUGCUGCGAUUUGUUUCUUAGCGGCGGACGGGUGAGUAACGCGUGGGUAAUCUGCCUCAAACAGGGGGAUAACACAGGGAAACUUGUGCUAAUACCGCAUAAGACCCCACCCAUGGCAUCAUGGAGAGGUCAAAGGAAGAAAUUCCGGUUUGUAGAUGAGCCCGCGUCUGAUUAGCUAGUUGGUGAGGUAACGGCUCACCAAGGCGACGAUCAGUAGCCGAACUGAGAGGUUGAUCGGCCACAUUGGGACUGAGACACGGCCCAGACUCCUACGGGAGGCAGCAGUGGGGAAUAUUGCACAAUGGGGAAACCCGUACGAUGCAGCGACGCCGCGUGAAGGAAGAAGGCCUCGGGUUGUAACUUACUUUGUACCAGGGACGAAGAAAGUGACGGUACCUGGAGGAACAAGCCACGGCGUAACUACGUGCCAGCAGCCGCGGUAAAAGUACU